Molecule: ribosomal RNA, 448 nt
Filed under: uncultured bacterium
Lineage: Bacteria
Description: bacterial SSU rRNA
Rfam family: Bacterial small subunit ribosomal RNA
Source: RNAcentral
AACGAACGCUGGCGGCAUGCCUAACACAUGCAAGCCGAACGAAGCCUUCGGGCUUAGUGGCGCACGGGUGCGUAACGCGUGGGAAUCUGCCCUUGGGUUCGGAAUAACAGUUAGAAAUGACUGCUAAUACCGGAUGAUGUCUUCGGACCAAAGAUUUAUCGCCCAAGGAUGAGCCCGCGUAGGGUUAGGUAGUUGGUGGGGUAAUGGCCCACCAAGCCGACGAUCCUUAGCUGGUCUGAGAGGAUGAUCAGCCACACUGGGACUGAGACACGGCCCAGACUCCUACGGGAGGCAGCAGUGGGAAUAUUGGACAAUGGGCGAAAGCCUGAUCCAGCAAUGCCGCGUGAGUGAUGAAGGCCUUAGGGUUGUAAAGCUCUUUACCAGGGAUGAUAAUGACAGUACCUGGAGAAUAAGCUCCGGCUAACUCCGUGCCAGCAGCCGCGGUAAU